Molecule: ribosomal RNA, 735 nt
Filed under: uncultured Pseudomonadota bacterium
Lineage: Bacteria; Pseudomonadati; Pseudomonadota
Description: bacterial SSU rRNA
Rfam family: Bacterial small subunit ribosomal RNA
Source: RNAcentral
AUUGAACGCUGGCGGCAGGCCUAACACAUGCAAGUCGAACGGUAACAGGAAGCAGCUUGCUGCUUCGCUGAUGAGUGGCGGACGGGUGAGUAAUGUCUGGGAAACUGCCUGAUGGAGGGGGAUAACUACUGGAAACGGUAGCUAAUACCGCAUAACGUCGCAAGACCAAAGAGGGGGACCUUCGGGCCUCUUGCCAUCGGAUGUGCCCAGAUGGGAUUAGCUAGUAGGUGGGGUAACGGCUCACCUAGGCGACGAUCCCUAGCUGGUCUGAGAGGAUGACCAGCCACACUGGAACUGAGACACGGUCCAGACUCCUACGGGAGGCAGCAGUGGGGAAUAUUGCACAAUGGGCGCAAGCCUGAUGCAGCCAUGCCGCGUGUAUGAAGAAGGCCUUCGGGUUGUAAAGUACUUUCAGCGGGGAGGAAGGGAGUAAAGUUAAUACCUUUACUCAUUGACGUUACCCGCAGAAGAAGCACCGGCUAACUCCGUGCCAGCAGCCGCGGUAAUACGGAGGGUGCAAGCGUUAAUCGGAAUUACUGGGCGUAAAGCGCACGCAGGCGGUUUGUUAAGUCAGAUGUGAAAUCCCCGGGCUCAACCUGGGAACUGCAUCUGAUACUGGCAAACUUGAGUCUCGUAGAGGGGGGUAGAAUUCCAGGUGUAGCGGUGAAAUGCGUAGAGAUCUGGAGGAAUACCGGUGGCGAAGGCGGCCCCCUGGACGAAGACUGACGCUCAGGU